Molecule: ribosomal RNA, 484 nt
Filed under: uncultured bacterium
Lineage: Bacteria
Description: partial 16S ribosomal RNA
Rfam family: Bacterial small subunit ribosomal RNA
Source: RNAcentral
AUUGAACGCUGGCGGCAGGCCUAACACAUGCAAGUCGAGCGGAUGAAGGGAGCUUGCUCCUGGAUUCAGCGGCGGACGGGUGAGUAAUGCCUAGGAAUCUGCCUGGUAGUGGGGGAUAACGUCCGGAAACGGGCGCUAAUACCGCAUACGUCCUGAGGGAGAAAGUGGGGGAUCUUCGGACCUCACGCUAUCAGAUGAUCCUAGGUCGGAUUAGCUAGUUGGUGGGGUAAAGGCCUACCAAGGCGACGAUCCGUAACUGGUCUGAGGGGAUGAUCAGUCACACUGGAACUGAGACACGGUCCAGACUCCUACGGGAGGCAGCAGUGGGGAAUAUUGGACAAUGGGCGAAAGCCUGAUCCAGCCAUGCCGCGUGUGUGAAGAAGGUCUUCGGAUUGUAAAGCACUUUAAGUUGGGAGGAAGGGCAGUAAGUUAAUACCUUGCUGUUUUGACGUUACCAACAGAAUAAGCACCGGCUAACUUCGUG